UCCGGUUUGGCACCGGCAGUCUCCCAUGAGUCCCCGACAUAACUCGCUGGCAACAUGGGAUAGGGGUUGCGCUCGUUGCGCCACUUAACCCAACAUCUCACGACACGAGCUGACGACAGCCAUGCAGCACCUGUCUUGGGACUCCGAAGAGGGGCCGUGGUUUCUCACGGCUUUCCCCAAGAUGUCAAGCCCAGGUAAGGUUCUUCGCGUUGCGUCGAAUUAAACCACAUGCUCCACCGCUUGUGCGGGCCCCCGUCAAUUCCUUUGAGUUUCAGCCUUGCGGCCGUACUCCCCAGGCGGGGCACUUAAUGCGUUAGCUACGGCGCUGAAAGGGUCAAUUCUCCCAACACCUAGUCAUCAUCGUUUAAGGCGUGGACUAC
Molecule: unclassified non-coding RNA, 380 nt
Filed under: uncultured bacterium
Lineage: Bacteria
Description: contains 16S-23S intergenic spacer region
Source: RNAcentral